Molecule: RNA transcript, 747 nt
Organism: Zea mays
Lineage: Eukaryota; Viridiplantae; Streptophyta; Magnoliopsida; Poales; Poaceae
Exons: 1
Source: RefSeq, marked validated
AAGGAUCAGAUAAUGAAGAGCUAGCUUCAGUGAAGACGGCCGGUUAUAUAUCCUAGCAAGCAACGCUCCGGCUACAAGGCAAAGCAACACUUGCUUGUCCAGUAAGUGAAGGAAGCGGCAGCUGUCCAUCAUCCCUCAUUCUCAGUUUGGGGUCCUGGGCCUGUGGCUGUGGUGGAGAGAGGUCAGGAGUGGAGCGAGGUCGGAGGAGGUCACCACACCAGCAGCGGCGACGACGAUGCUGAUCCUGGACCUGGCGAUCUGGAUCAUCCCGGUGACGCUCGUCCUCGUGCCGUUCCGGCGGCUGGUGGUCCUGGUGGCCAGGCUGCAGGAGCUGGAGGAGUGCAUCAUGCGGCCGCGGCCGCCGCUCAUGGACUCGUGGGCGUGGGGCCGCGUCGGCGGCCUGCACACCAUGAGCAUCAUGAUGUGAGGUGGGGAAGUCAAGCGAGGGCGCUCAAGGUUCGAAUUCGAACCAUGUAUAAGCUGCAAUGGAGCUCAAGGUUUUUACCUAGGAUGUAGGAGCUUCUUCCCGGUUGGUAAACGGUAACCGAGUUCAUAUCUCUCGGUCAGUAUGGUAUGGGUAUGGAUAUACUCCGAUCCUGUCAUCUUCUUUUUUCUUUCUGAAUAUGUUAAUUGUGCAAUGGUGGCCCUGUAUGUAAGAAAAUGUAGAUAUAUCUGCAGUCCUGUGUACAUGUCAUUCAGAAACGGAGCACCUGCUGGCGCCCGUUGUACCUGAACUCUCAUUCACAA